RNAcentral lists this ribosomal RNA (418 nucleotides) under Nitrospira sp. RNAcentral describes it as "partial 23S ribosomal RNA". It matches the Rfam family "Bacterial large subunit ribosomal RNA", at positions 1 to 453 of the family's 2925-position model. The record is from RNAcentral. Lineage: Bacteria; Pseudomonadati; Nitrospirota; Nitrospiria; Nitrospirales; Nitrospiraceae.
GUUAUAGGGUCAAGUGACUAAGUGCAUGUGGUGGAUGCCUUGGCGAUUACAGGCGAUGAAGGACGCGAUAGCCUGCGAAAAGCUGCGGGGAGCUGGCAAACAAGCUUCGAUCCGCAGAUGUCCGAAUGGGGAAACCCACCCGCAAGGGUAUCUCGCAGUGAAUUCAUAGCUGCGUGAAGCAAACCGGGCGAACUGAAACAUCUCAGUAGCUCGAGGAACAGACAUCAACCGAGAUUCCGAAAGUAGUGGCGAGCGAAAUCGGACCAGCCUGCAUGUAUUAGCAGAAACCUUAUCGGAAUGGCAUGGAAAGGCCGGCCACAGCGGGUGAUAGCCCCGUACCGAGAAAAGAUUUCUGUGAAACUAAGCAUGCGAUAAGUAGGGGCGGGACACGUGAAAUCCUGUCUGAAGAUGGGGGGAC